RNAcentral lists this ribosomal RNA (256 nucleotides) under uncultured bacterium. Its description in RNAcentral is "partial 16S ribosomal RNA". It matches the Rfam family "Bacterial small subunit ribosomal RNA", at positions 524 to 776 of the family's 1533-position model. The record is from RNAcentral.
UACGUAGGGUGCAAGCGUUGUCCGGAAUUAUUGGGCGUAAAGAGCUCGUAGGCGGUUCGUCACGUCGGCUGUGGAAAUCCCGAGGCUCAACCUCGGGUCUGCAGUCGAUACGGGCAGACUGGAGUACUGGCAGGGGAGACGUGGAAUUCCUGGUGUAGCGGUGAAAUGCGCAGAUAUCAGGAGGAACACCAACAGCGAAGGCAGAUCUCUGGGACGUUACUGACGCUGAGACGCGAAAGCGUGGGGAGCAAACAGG